RNAcentral lists this ribosomal RNA (301 nucleotides) under uncultured bacterium. RNAcentral describes it as "partial 16S ribosomal RNA". It matches the Rfam family "Bacterial small subunit ribosomal RNA", at positions 509 to 807 of the family's 1533-position model. The record is from RNAcentral.
CAGCAGCCACGGUAAUGCGUAGGUGGCAAGCGUUGUCCGGAAUUAUUGGGCGUAAAGGGCUCGCAGGCGGUUUCUUAAGUCUGAUGUGAAAGCCCCCGGCUCAACCGGGGAGGGUCAUUGGAAACUGGGAAACUUGAGUGCAGAAGAGGAGAGUGGAAUUCCACGUGUAGCGGUGAAAUGCGUAGAGAUGUGGAGGAACACCAGUGGCGAAGGCGACUCUCUGGUCUGUAACUGACGCUGAGGAGCGAAAGCGUGGGGAGCGAACAGGAUUAGAUACCCCCGUAGUCCCUGUCUCUUAUAC